RNAcentral lists this ribosomal RNA (253 nucleotides) under uncultured bacterium. RNAcentral's name for it is "partial 16S ribosomal RNA". It matches the Rfam family "Bacterial small subunit ribosomal RNA", at positions 524 to 776 of the family's 1533-position model. The record is from RNAcentral.
UACGUAGGGGGCAAGCGUUGUCCGGAAUCAUUGGGCGUAAAGCGCGCGUAGGCGGCCCGGUAAGUCCGUUGUGAAAGUCAAAGGCUCAACCUUUGAAUGCCGAUGGAUACUGCAGGGCUAGAGUCCGGAAGAGGCGAGUGGAAUUCCUGGUGUAGCGGUGAAAUGCGCAGAUAUCAGGAGGAACACCGAUGGCGAAGGCAGCUCGCUGGGACGGUACUGACGCUGAGGAGCGAAAGCGUGGGGAGCGAACAGG